AAUACACGUUAUAAUAUUGAUAAUACAAAGGAGUUUCAAAACUCCAAACAUUAUGUAACAUUCACUCGCAAAGUUCCUUGAAGCUUGCACGAAGAAGUUUAACUCCAAUGGCAGGAACAAAAUCCCCAACCCCAACACAGACCUAGAACGUAUGUCAAGCAAUCCCUUCCAUACACCUUUUCAAUUACUUUCUUUUAUAAAGGAAUUGGCAGCUUCUGAUAUCGCGGUGAACACACUGAUGGACGUGGGGGUCGUUAUUUUUUCCUGGCUGGUACGACGUCUUUUCUGAGGCACAUAGAUUUUUCCUUGCAUUCACGAGUUCAUGGAGUAGAACAGCCUUGCUGAGACAGGCGGGUUCAACUUCUUGGUCAGCGAUCACCUCCGGCCUUCUCCGGCGACUACUACGAUUACACCUCUCCGGAUGGUGGAACUUCAUCGGUAGUAUCUAAGGACAUUGUCUCUGACUAAAAAUAGCAUGAAGCAUAUCAAUGAAAGACCCUUUUCACUUAGGACAGUCGAUUUCCAACAUCAGCAAGAUGGAUAAGGCAUCAAUCAUAAAAGAUGGAACUAGUUAGAUAGAACACUUGAAUGAAAAACGGAGAAGGAUCCAACAUGAGAUAAUGGAGGUUAAAUCUAACAAGCUCAGCAAUCCAAUUAUUGCAGUGUCUGCAGCAGUAGGGGACUAUGAUUUUAAACAGGAUCUUCCCAUUGUUAUCAGAUCUAACAAGAAGAGACCCGAUAACCUUUUCUUUGAUACCUCGGCUACUUCUUCCUCAAUAAAUAACACCAACUAUUUCCCUAUUGAACUGAUUGAUCUUUAUGCACGAUUGGGUUCUUUUUGGCAAGAAUGCAAGGACAAAACCUGAGGAUUCAUGUUCCACCAUAGCUUUAAUGGCAACUGUCAGACUAUUGAAAAGGUGAUAUUUUUGUUGUGCCAUGUCUAUUGGGAUCUCUAAAUAUUCAGUAAUUUGAAUUAUUCUAAAAUAAUAUGUUGCAUUGAGGAAGGAGUGCCUAUGGUAUUUUUUGUUGUGCUUACUGUGAUAUUGAAUAUACAAGGCUUGAUUUAAUCUCCAAUCAUGGAAUUUCUUUUCUUCCUUUCCUGAUUGCGACUUUUAGGUCAAUUUCAUGGCUCUUUCGUGUUUGAUUGUCAUUGUUUUAACCACAUGCUUUAGAAAUCCAUUCAUAUUAUCUAUAUCAUUUUGAAAUUAGAAAUUGAUUUGAAUUUUAUUUUAUUUCACGUGAUUUAUAUGUUCACUUCUACAUUUAGUUAUACUAUUCUUCUUUUUUCUAAUAAAUGCUGGGUUUUUAUGCUAUUUAAAAUAGUCUUUCAAUUGUGUGUUCAUUAACUUUGUGCUAAAGGAAUUUUUCUAUUGUUGCUCCUGUCGGAAAGUACUUUCCUACCCUCUUCUCUGUUUUACUAAUUUGGCAUGCUUGGAAAAUUUUACAAAUUAGUGGGUUAGUUGAAAACUUGAAAUUUGGGGCUUGAAAGGUGAAACCUCCUAUAUUCAUUUUUUCUUUAUUGGUCAACAAUUUAUUAGCUAAACUAUUCUGUUUUGAACUUGGAAUUACAACAGAUAUGUUUAUGAUAAUGAUAAUGCUAUAAUGUAAUUGAUUGAUUAUUAUUGUUUUGUGUGUGAAUCAUGGAAGAAAUUGUUGGAUGUCCACCAAUCCAUACAUUCAGCGAUAACUCAAUUGCAACUCAGCCUCCUCGAAAGAAUGAACCUGAUGCAAGAGUAUUUUGUAUAAAUAAUUUUUUUUAUUCUGUUGUUUUUUGUAAAACUGUGUGCUAGAGUCAAAACCACUCACUAUAGGAGUUUCUGCAUCUGACACUAUGAUGGUUCUUCUAUCACAU
This is a non-coding RNA of Arachis ipaensis, 1852 nucleotides long. The record is from RefSeq and is a predicted model, not a curated record. Lineage: Eukaryota; Viridiplantae; Streptophyta; Magnoliopsida; Fabales; Fabaceae.